UGGCCAUUAUUAGAUACUUUGGAAAUCAAAAAUUGUCCAAAAAUAACAGUUUUCACAAAUGGGCAAUCAACUACUCCAGAGCUGAAGUUAAUAGAUACAACUUUUGGAUUGUGUCAUGCAACGGAAGACCCAAACUCUUUUAUAAAGACCAAACAACAAGAGGUACGUGGUGUCUCCUUUGGUUAUUAUUAACAGAUUAAUAUGUUUGAUCGAACAAAACGUUUACUUUACUCUCGAAUUUACAACUUGUUGUAAUCUCCUAAAGGGAUGGGAGUUCUAGAGCAACAUCAAAUUUACACGUGUGGUUUGGUUCGUUUUGAAGUUAGCUAUAUAGCACAGGUAAGAUUACAUCGUACACUUAUUUCCUUCUUCCCAAUCAUGUACAUGUUUCUCCACCUUAGUUAUCUGAUCAUUGAAUUGACUUUUUGUCACAGUUGCUUGCUUACUACUCUUUC
RNAcentral lists this long non-coding RNA (455 nucleotides) under Lactuca sativa (garden lettuce). RNAcentral describes it as "long non-coding RNA (LSAT_LNC000988)". Lineage: Eukaryota; Viridiplantae; Streptophyta; Magnoliopsida; Asterales; Asteraceae. The record is from RNAcentral.